CAGGGCUUGACAUCCCUUGACGAUUCUAGAGAUAGGAUUUCCCUUCGGGGCAAGGAGACAGGUGGUGCAUGGUUGUCGUCAGCUCGUGUCGUGAGAUGUUGGGUUAAGUCCCGCAACGAGCGCAACCCCUGUUGUUAGUUGCCAGCAUUAAGUUGGGCACUCUAGCGAGACUGCCGGUGACAAAUCGGAGGAAGGUGGGGACGACGUCAAAUCAUCAUGCCCCUUAUGUCCUGGGCGACACACGUACUACAAUGGCUGUUACAGAGGGCAGCGAGACCGCGAGGUGGAGCAAAUCCCUAAAAGCAGCCCCAGUUCGGAUUGCAGGCUGAAACUCGCCUGCAUGAAGUCGGAAUUGCUAGUAAUGGCAGGUCAGCAUACUGCCGUGAAUACGUUCCCGGGCCUUGUACACACCGCCCGUCACACCAUGGGAGUCAGUUGCUCUAGAAGUCGGUGCGCCAACCUCGGAGGCAGCCGCCUAAAGAGUGACUGGUGACUGGGGUG
RNAcentral lists this ribosomal RNA (501 nucleotides) under uncultured bacterium. Its description in RNAcentral is "bacterial SSU rRNA". It matches the Rfam family "Bacterial small subunit ribosomal RNA", at positions 975 to 1482 of the family's 1533-position model. The record is from RNAcentral.